RNAcentral lists this ribosomal RNA (405 nucleotides) under Triticum aestivum (bread wheat). Its description in RNAcentral is "partial small subunit ribosomal RNA". Lineage: Eukaryota; Viridiplantae; Streptophyta; Magnoliopsida; Poales; Poaceae. The record is from RNAcentral.
AUGAGAAAACGCAGACAAGAGCGUAAGCGCAAGGGCUUGGUCAUAGCGCUCAACACGUAUGCCAAGCGAAACAACAUUCAGCUCUCUGAGUUGGAAUUUGUGGAAGAGAAAGAGAGGAAUCAAGUCGAUGGAUGCGCAGCACUAUAUGUGCACUCCAACUUUCUGGUGAAAGGUUCAGAUGGCAAACAUACUAUGUUCUUUGCUGAGAUGCGACCUGACUGCACACAGGAAGAGGAUGUUGUUCUCUGCACACCUUUGGAAGAAAACAAUUAUGGUCAUUGUUACGGGUGCGAUGAUCGAGCAAAGGAGCUUAGGCAUCCCUCGGGCGGUGGCUACUUGGGUGGACAUAAUGAGAUGAUUUUUCACUUGGAGGAGCUGGACAGUGAUGAUGACUGUUUUAUGUGA